RNAcentral lists this transfer RNA (71 nucleotides) under Loxodonta africana (African savanna elephant). It matches the Rfam family "tRNA". Rfam says of the family: Transfer RNA (tRNA) molecules are approximately 80 nucleotides in length. Their secondary structure includes four short double-helical elements and three loops (D, anti-codon, and T loops). The record is from Rfam by way of RNAcentral. Lineage: Eukaryota; Metazoa; Chordata; Mammalia; Proboscidea; Elephantidae.
GCGUUGUUGAUUCAGUGGUAGAAUUCUCACCUUCCAUGAGGGAAACCUGGGUUCAAUUCUCGGCCAAUGCA